RNAcentral lists this long non-coding RNA (19136 nucleotides) under Marmota monax (woodchuck). Lineage: Eukaryota; Metazoa; Chordata; Mammalia; Rodentia; Sciuridae. The record is from RNAcentral.
AGGCAAUUCGCAGGGGCCCGCCUGCUUCUGUGUGUGGUUUGCUGCAGCUGUCCUGGGGUGGGGACAGAGUGGUGCCCGCCCCAGGACACGGCAGGUGGUGCAGGUGGGUGGCUGUCUUCCCCGGGGUAGGGACCAGUCGGAGGGAAGAGGCUGAGAGAUUCGGGGCACCAGCCAGACAUCACGUGCCCACCUUUCCUGAGAGCAGCUGGUGGCCCUGGGUCCAGCUGUCUGGCCGGCACUGCUUUGAUAAUUAAUCAUUUUCUGUCCGGACUAUAAAUACCCCAGAGGUAAGUCUGUUCUGCCCCUGUCAGGCAACUUGUAGAAGUUAUCACUGAAUUAAAAUGAAUCGGCCACCUCCUUCUCUCGUGCAUCCCCGGCCUUCCCCAUCUCUUUUGUGUGGAUUCUCUCCGCUUCUCCCAGUGCUGGUCAGAGAGCAGAGCAGAAACCCCCCAUCCUUCUGGGGCAAAGGGAAAAUGAACGAGUCCUCUCUGUCUCUUCCGCUCAGAGCCUAGAGCUCUCAGAUGAUCUCCUGGGUCUCAGUUUUAUCAUCUUUUAAAUGGGAUCAUCGACUCUUCCUCUUCACAGGCUUCUUCACGGCCUCCUGGCCGAGUACCCACGUGACAAGAGGAAGAGUGCAGAGGGUGCCCGCAGUCCUGGCCUUGGGACAGACAGAGCUUCAGAGGGCUGGUCCAGUCGAGCAUAGGACCACAGUGACAGACUCACUUCUGCGGCUCAGCCUCCUUCUUCCUGCACCCUCGUGGCCCAUUUUGAGUAAGUGUCACCUGGUACGUGUAGCUAUUGCUUUGUUCCAGGAAAUAAAGAAUUGCUCUAAGGGGCAGGACCAAGAGGCCCAUGGGCAGUCUGGGUGCUGGUCCCCCGGGCUCCUCCCUCUUCCCAGGGGUUCAGUUCUGCUGUCCUGGCCCUGACCCCACCCAACCUGCACACAGGAGCCAGUGACAUGUCCCCUCAACCGCCCCUCUGCUGUUCCUCAAAAGCGCACAGAUUUAAUUUUCGACACAUGGGAAGAAAAUGUACUUCCUCAAACAGCCCCAGGGACGGGCCAAGAGGGAGCAAGCUAAUUAUCUCCCGUGUUUUCCUUCAGCGGGGAGUGGGCAGAAGGGACGGGAGAGAAGAAAUUGGCAGGGCCGAGAGCAGGUUCCAGACCGCAUCGUGGGGUUGCAGCGCUGGUACCCUGAGAAUUGGGGUGGGGCGGAAGUCCGGGGCCACAAGAACCUGUGCUCUCUGUCCCCAGAGCCCAGCAUCUGGAGGGAGUUGGCAGGACCCUGCUGCUCGGCCUCCUCCUUCCUGCAGUGCCAGGCAAUGCCACAGGUGGGGUCUUCAGGGCCAAGUCCACGGCAACAAGGCCCUGGUGAGCAGGUGCCACAGAGAGGCCACUGCUUGGGAGACAGGACCCCAUUCCUUCCAGGACCCAAACAGCAGGCCAGGAGAGAGGCCCCAGGAAAAGAGGCUCAGCCUCACGGAGCCAAGAUUCCCAGGAAAAGCGAUGGACACCGGGACGUGGAGACAUGACAGCUCAAACUUAGAGAAUCGGAAGAAGACAAUUCCACAGCCCGACACCUCCCUGUGACAGAUGCCUAAUUAAGACUGGACAGAAACAGGCAAGAGAGCCACUUAAUCCAGACUCUAUUUGCCUUGCUAAUUUAGGGGUGUGCGUGUGCGUGUGUGUGUGUGUGUGUGUGUGUGUGUGUGCAUGUGUGUUUUCCUGUUGGGUGAAGGUUUGUAAAAUCUUAAUGAGGUUGUGCAUAUUGGAACAGAGAUGGAAAGGCGUCCUCCCCUCCCCCUCCGUAAUGGUCUCACAUCCCUGGGGCCAUUAAAACUCCAUGCACAAGACUCUCCCUGUAGGGAAAGUGGCAAAGGGCCUCCUCUGUCUGUGGAUUCAGGGGAGGAGACCAAGUGUCUCAUUCAAUCACAGAUAGAUGGCUGGUGGCUUAGGCAGUUGAUGACUACUUCUUUUUUUUUUUUCUUCCUUAAAUGAAAACCUCAAAUUGGACUCAAAGCAGCUAUUUGUAAUGUCAGGAGCCGCUGGCAUUUAGAUAUCAAGCUCAUUGAAUUAAUUUUUAAUGACCUUUAAUGUGACAGGUCAGCAGGGGCAGAAGGAACACUCUGCUGUGUACACAGUAGGCAGUUGUUGGAACCAAAGGGAACAGGGGAGCAUGCCACCAGGGAGACCCCACCAUGAGCCCUUCCUCCUUCCCGACUCUGCCACCUGGCCUGGGUCCUGGGACUAGGGGACACUGCCUGCUCUCUCCGGCCUAUGUGAGGGGAACAGCUCUGCGAGGGAGGGACGGGCAGCGAGAAAGAGCCCUGCUGGCUUCGGUGCUACCUUGGGGUGAUUCAGAUGGUCACUCCCCAAAGUGGCCUCUUCAAAGCGCACUGACCCCGUGGGCAGUUUCAAGGGGCCCCGUUCAGCGCUGGCUCCCCUUCAGGGCAGUUGAGGUGUGUGCACCACCAGGAGGCAGCUAUCGGAUGAGGAGACCUCAGGGCUACGUCCAUCCACUUGGUCUCAUGCAAGGGUAAGGGGCUAUGUCACUGUGGGCUCCGGGAACCUGCAGCCUUUGCUAAGAGCCUGAAACCGUCAGGUGUCAGGUCCUGGGGCCAGGGGGUGAUGAGGCACCAGCCAGCCCGUCCCUGUCAGAGAGCAGGUCAAGGUGUCCCCUGGGUGAGACGGCAAUUUCACCCUUUCCCAUGCACACACUGGUCAGAUGCACGUCUAACUGGGGCCCGAGGUUCUACAUGGCUACCCAGGUCCCAGGUGACCCUGAGGUUCCUGGUCCGGGAGACCACGCUCUGAGUAGCCAGGGUCGAUAGUCCAGAAAGAUGACCCUGGGAGGGCCUCUCUCAGCAGCAUCACCCGGAGGCCUCAUUAAGACAUGAAUCGCUUCCUCCCAUCCCUAGACUUCCCAACUGAGCAGGUGUGAGGUGGAGAAGGAGCAUUUGCCUUUGUGACAGGAUUGAGGUGAAAAUGACGUCCAGAGACCACGCUUUUGGGAAUGGCUGGGACUCUGGGCCUGAGACCUGCACCAGAGGUGCUUAGAGUUGGACAAGGAAAAGAGGCAGGAAUCGGGAGCAAGAGUGGGUCACCACGUGGCCUUCCCUGUAUACUGUGAAUGGAGCUUUAAUGUCCCUGGGACGUGGAACACUGGGUGGGUGAGUGGGGGGCUCUUUCCAUGCAAAAAUCUUUAGCUCAAAACACCUUCUCCCUCCCAACCCUUUCUCUCCUCGGGAGGAGCACAGGGGAAGGGGAGGGCCGUCCAGCUUCUGCCUGGACAGGCAGCUGCUCAGCCCUCUUUGCCCAUUCCCACAAAACCUGGGGAGAUUUUAAAUGCUCAGGGGGCUUCUGCCUGUUCCUCCAGAUGCCGACUUAAUUGGUCUUAGGUGAUGCCUAGGACCAAUUUUUGUUUUUGUUUUUAAAUAAACUCCUCCAGAGCCACAGUUGAGAACCACUGGCCUAGACCCAAGUCUACUGUCAGCUGCGGCUUGUUGGGGAGUUGGGCAAAGGAUGUCCCCUCCCUUAUUCUCUGAACCUCCUUGCUACACGCCCCCCCACCCAACGCACGUAGCUGAAGUUCUGCGGAACACCUGGUCUGUUCUACUGAGAACGGGGCGACCUACUUUCUCUGCCUGUGGCUUCUCUUGCACAUGGGGACUCUGGGGACGGAGGGGCAGAUGGAAAUGUCAGCAUGUCUGUGUUGAUGCUGCAUUUGGGUGUCACCCAAGCGCUUGUUUCUCUGUCAGAUUCCGGAUGUGGCAUUUAGAUAGUGAACCGCUGCCGCCAGACUCUUGCUGGGGAGAUCAAAGCAUCCGGCAGCAUCCAGAGACGCCCUGGGGUCUGGCUGCCAAGAGCUGGCGGCUCUGGGCCACCGGCAGGACGGGGCUGGCACAGGGACUGUUUCGGCUGGAGGCGGACCACAGGCAGACAGAGCACCUGGGGAUUCUUCCCUCCUGUCGGGGCCCCUUCACCUGUAAGGCUGCUCUCCCAGCCGGGUGCCUACCUGUGCACGUCCAAGCACAUGGGACCUCGCCACACAGCCCUGACCCUGGUGGCUGCCUGUGGCUGUCACCACUCUCUGUCCCUCACUGUGAGGAGGGAUAGACCACAGAGGGCCAGCCAGCCGGCCGGAGGGGGCUCCAUCUAAAAUGGUCCCAUCGUGGGGAGCAGACACCAGGAAGUGGGUCCAGGACUGGGGACAGAGACCCCUCGUCCUCCUGCCUUCUGGCUUUACUGGAUCCAUUCCACUGUGGUCCCCGUGGGGUGGGGUGGGAUAUCUCCUAGCCUUGUGCUAUAGAAGGCCUUGGAUGUCCCACUGUGUCCCUGGGUGCCUCUGGGGCGUCUCGGGGGCUGGCAGACCAAGGACAGGCACAGGAGGAAUCGGCAAGGUGCACUGGCCUUGAGCACAGAUGGAGCACAGCGGUCCUUCUGGGAAGUGUCCCUGCUCACUGUGAGUCCUCAGCAGCUGCCCAAUGUCACCGGUGUUUAUUAACCUUUCCUGCACACAGCAAAGAACAUUGUGUCUCUCCAUGCAGGCUCUCAAGAAUUCCAAUUAUUCCGUGUUCUGGCCCCCACCCCCACUUUUUAGUAGGAGUCACUAUUAACAUCUCCCUGGUUGGAUUUCGGAAAGAACAGCCUGUCUCGUCUUGACAGGAGACUGGAGAGAACUGUGAGCACUGGGGUCCACUUGGUGCAGGAUCUGGCUCUGGCCGCUCCUCCUGGCCGUCUAUUCUUCCUGUUGACAAGGAGAGAGCAGGGUCUCACCCCUGCCCCUGUCCAAUGCCCCCACCAGUUCCCAAAUGUGAGAGGCUCCGGCCCUUCCAUUAGGACCCCUGCUCCCUGUUACUUUGGUGAUGCCAGACUUGGGGUCUUUUUCCAGCCUCUGUCCCCCUCUCUUCCUGCUCAGAGGGCAGGGGAGAAGGGUCUUAACAGGAAAGUGACUACUCUGUGUACCCUCGGUAUGCCCCGGUCAGCAAGGGGGACCCGGAGAGCGCCCCUCCCAGCAAUUGGGAAGGCUCCAGUUUGUCCCCAGGGGUGUUCCUGUGAAUCUGACGUCCCACAGGAAGUCAUCCUGCAGGCAGGCUGGGCUGGGCAUGGCUGGGUCCCUCCAGCCCCUGAAGGGCUUGAAGCCUCAGACGCAGGAGCAGGGAUCAGGUGGGAGCUGAAAAGUGAGCUUCUCCAAGCAUGGAACUAGGGAGAGGCUUCGGGGCCCCCACCCCUGGAAGCUCCUCAACAAAGCUUCCACCUCUUGCCCCUCAGCGUAGAGCCAGGGAAGAGGGGAUGGCCAUGGCGGUGUGACCUGUGGCCCCUCCCAGCUCCCCAGCUGGCCCUGGCACCGCCAGCCUAACUCCGCCGCCCCCACCUGCUCUCUGGCUCCCUGCUUGCUCUCUGGGCUCAGGCUUCCAAGGGUGGCUCGAAGGCCACGCCCCCUGUGUGGCCUGGAUACCUUCCACCUGCCUCCCCGGCCCCGCCCACCAGCCCAAGGAGGAAGUAAUCUUCCUCCUGGGAGUUCUUGGAACACUUUCUCUGCACUUUGUGGCGGCAGGCAUCAAUUUCUGCUCCUUACCCCAGUUUCCCACCUGCAUCUCUUAUAUCACCUCCGAGUUGGCAAGCUCCUUAAUGACAGGAGUCAUAGCUCAUCCUCCUUUAUGGCCACACUGCACCCAGCGCUGCAAAUGUAGAUUGAAUGAUAAGAAGCUCAACCUAGCGACAUUCUGGGGAUACGUGUCAUCAUGAGAAGGUCGUUCAUUUCUGCUUUGUUCCUGAAGUGGGGGGCAUCUCCUAGUUCCAGGGAAGACAGAGGGAAGACUCAUCCCUCUGAGGUGUCAACUGGUGGACAGCCAUUUCUGGGGUUGUUUGGAGCUCCACCCAUGGGCAGGCCCCGCUGGACAUCACUUUCCACCUCCCAGUCUCCUCCUGAUGCCCCACUUAGUCCAGCCUUAUUGGUGUUGGGAGUCCCACCUUGACACCUUCUUGAUUCUCACGGAACCUCCCGAUGCCACCUCUUGACUGUCCCAGACCUGCUCUUCUUUCUUUGUAAAUCUUUAAUCAGAUGCAUUUCUUUUUUGCUUCUUGUCACUCGGUUUCCGGCCACUCUGUCCACACCCUGCACGCUGUUUCCACUUGAGCGUCCACAAUAUUUGUAACCUUCAGUGCUUAAGGCCACGUGCCUCUGCCAAGCAACCUUUCAGGAUUUCUUUGGUAAAACUCACUCCUUCUUCCUCAGUGGAAUCCCACAGCCAUUGGUUCAUCUGCCUGGUAGUAUAGUUUUUGUAUUAGUUAGGAUAAAAGACUAAGCUGCUGUGAUAUCAUUGUUUAAGCAACAAUAUGGUGGUUUAAAUAACAAAGUGUAUUUUUUCUCUCUCUCUCUCGUUUUUCUUUCUUUCUUUCUCUCUUUCUUUCUUUACUGUUGAACUCAAAUCUACAUCCCAACUCUUUUAAUUUUGAGACAGGAUCUCUCUAGGUUGCUUAGGCCUCACUAAGUUGCUGAAGCUGACCUCAAACUUUCUGUCCUCCUGCCUCAGCCUCCUAAAUUACUGGGAUUAUGGACAUAUGCCACGGUGCCUGGCCUGCAUUUCUCUUUUACCAAGAUUUGUGUUGGAUUGGUGGGGCCACUUGUCAUUUGUGGUCAUCUGGAGACCAGAUGAAUCCGCUCUGUUGUUCUGCCCUCUCCUAGGCGGUAUAAUCAGAGACAGUUGAAGCUAGGUUGAAAGGGUGCAAGUUCAGCCGGUAGGAAGAAAAAAAGAGCUGGCAGAAGUCACCCUGGAUGGUGUUCACCAUCACGAUGGUCUGGUCUCUGUGGUAAUCGUGUCACGUAACAAAUAGAGCCAACAGCCCCAAACUGACAGAGCUCUACAGACGUUUCCUGCCCCUUGGUUAUUUAACAAGCACUAACCUAGGUGCUGCUGAGAAGGGACCUUGCAGAGGCAUUUAGGGUUCUGAAUUAGCUGCUCUCAUGAUUGGCAGCUCAUCUUGGAUUCUCCAGGUGGACCCAGUGUCAUUGCACAAGCCCUUCAAAUCAGGCAGGAAGCAGGAGAGGAGGGAAAGGCAUGUGUCUUCACCAUGCCGCUGCCGAUUCUGAGACACACAGGUCACUUGCAAGGACACCAGUGAAGCCUCUAGAUGUGGAGGACAGUCCCAGUGAUGACCGUCUGGGAAAUGAGAACCUCAGUCCUACAACCACUAGGAACCUGAACUGGCCAGUGACGUGAAUGAGCUUGGCAGCAGGUCCUCCCCUAGCCUCGAGGAGCCGGUCAGCAGCCCCCCUGAGUGUGUCCUUGGAGCCAAGCCAGACCCCUGCAGUUGAAAUCAUAGAGGUGUUUUGGGAUUCAGCCACUCAGUUUGUGGAAGACCAAGGCAGAGGUCCCCACGACUCCCUGUCUCAGGUCUGUGGCCUGCAGGUUGGCUGGGAUUUGGCCAACUCAGCCGGCCAGGCUGCACCGCAGGCUCCCAGGAGGCUAGCGUCUCAUCCAGCAUCUUCAUUUAUUUAGUGUGUUGGUCACAUGGCAGUGACAGAGGCACUGGAGGCCACAUCACACCCCAGGAACAGGCUAAGCCUCCCUUGCAUCUUGGCAACCAACCAUUGUCCCAAACAAGUCUUGAGGUCACGCCCAGCACUGGGGGAGGGGGCAGUGUGCUAACCUGCGCUGGGGGAAGGCCUGCUACCUGACCCGCAGUCUGGUGUAGGAUUCUGCUAGAGGAGGGUAUGGACAUGAGGCCACCGUCCACUCGCCCACACUUCCCAUCCCGCUGUCUUCUCCGAGGCAUAACGCCUGCUCUUUGUGUUCCUUUACUGUUGUGUGUGUAUGUGCACGGGUACACACGUGUGUGCCUCACACUAGAGCGUGCACUCCAUGAAGGUAGGAAGAGCUGCCUCUUUUGCCUCCUGAGUCUUAAGCACAGACCUGGGAUGUCACAGGAGGUCAAUAUGUACUUGUUGAGUAAAGCAGUGAUGUUAGCUGGGACCCACCGUGUCUUCCCCGUGGGCUGCACGUGAUUCAUUUUGUGUAGGAAAAGCACCCCCACACCCUGUGACAUGGACGGAAAGCUCAUCACAGCACAAAAAGCAAAACCUACUCCCAGCCUGAUAUGGAGCCUCCGAUGGUCUCCAGGAGUUGCAGGAAAUUGUAAAAAUAAAAUUGUAAAAAUUCCCCCCCCAAAAAAAUUAGGCUGUGAUAACAACGCUCCCCACCCCCAGGCUGGCUGUUGGUUGGUGGGGGGGGGGCCCAGGUCUAUAAAUUCAAACCGCAGGGCAUGCCAAUCCCCAGAGGCUUCACUCCUGAAGCUAAAAUAAUAAUUCUGGGCUUUGGCAGGAUUUUCUGGAUCCCACCCGGCUUUUCUUGAGCAUGGAGGACUGGCCGUCCCUGCCAAAUGGAACCACCUCGGGAGAGCUGGCCAGGGCUGUCAGCGCCUCUCCUUUCAGUCGGCUGAUUGGCGGAGUCAACUGGUGUUUGUGGGGUGCCGGGCCCAGCCUCGGUUAACCCCUUCAGACAUCUAAAGACGCCUGAGAUGCACGGUGGCAUGGGAGGCGGGGGUCUGGAUGCAGGAGCUCACACAAGACGAGAAAGGGGCGGGGACACCCUCCAUCCCAGGUCUUGAGGGAAUCGCCACCCUGGGGGCACAGGGGUCCUCCUAGAACCCGUCCUCACCUCCAUUGCAAUGUUAUCAAACAUAUCCAUUCUCUGUCAGUAAUGGUCAUCACCAUCACCACCAACCACUGCGAUAUAAUUAAUAUUUACCUGUGAUUAUUAUCAAUAUUUAUUAGUAAUGAAUAUUAAUCAUGGGAGUCUCAUAAAUAAAUAUUAAUAGUAUUAACAUCAAAUAUUUAUUACGUUUAUUAUGCACCAGGAGUCCAUUGUUAUGCACCCUAGUGUAGGUGGUAGGAUGAUCCCCACUUGACAGACAGGGAAACUGAGGCAGAUUCAGGAUCUUGCCCAAGGACACCUUGCAGAGUGUUGGAGGGGGGCCUGGCUGACUGACACUGGCUCUAUGCUACACAGUGUCUGAGAGAGCAGGUAUUAUGCUUUCAUUUAAAAUGCUGCAUUCAUUGAGUGCUUGUCUCACUCACUCAGAGUAAGAAGAGGAGCAGGAGGGCAGGGCGCCAGUGGACCCGGGAUCAGAGAGGCCCUGACCUCCCUGAGAUGGAAGGUGGUGGGGGCGGGGGCGAUGGUACAGGCACUUGUAUUAAAAUGCAAAUUUCUGCCUUGCUUGCUGGUUUAUCAUCUGACUCGUUAUACAAUUUGCCAGUUAUAGAAGAAAAAUUACCAUAAUGGGGCCCCAGGGAAUGGUUGUAAAAAGGAGACCAAACGUUACUUAUCGGCCGUUCCACUACAAUUAUCUUACACGUUUGUUCUUUUCCUCCUCAGAAAAAUGAAACCGUCAAUGCCAGGGACAAGGUGCUGACCAGGGUGCUGACCAGGCAGGAGACAGCCCAGCGGCUAUGUCUUUGAUCCGCUCCUCCCUCCUCUCCCUACCUGCCCCAGCUGGGGCCACCGCGGCUACCUUCCUUGGGCAGCUCCCUCCGCAGGACAGGCUGGCUGGGCGUUUUCCAAGCAGGAAAAGAGAGAGGGUUCUGCAGGUGGGAGUUCAGAGUCUCCUGCGUCUUACUGGCCCAGGCUGGGCAGGAUCUCCUCUCCUGGGGGCUUGAUGUGGAGGUGGGGCAGCUCAGGAGGUCCCAUGGAGCAUCACUCCUCAGCCUCAGCAGGUACCGGGCAGGUAGGUGGGACUCAGGUAGGCUGCAGGUAGCCGGACUUCUGCAAGGAGGCAGCCGCUGUGUGGGGCAUUCCUCUGGGCCACCGUACCCGGAGGACUCACGCUCCUAGAUACCUUUCCAACCUGUACCUGCCGCCCCACCCAGAGCAUCUUCCUGCAGAGCCUCACUGUGGGCUCCUUGCAGGGGGAGGGUGAGUCUUUCCACUUGAUUCUUUCAGUAUCUACCGAGUACUUGGAACCUAAUAAGAAGGAGAUAAAUAUUUGAUGAAUGAAUGAAAGUUUCUGUCCCUGAGAGUGUGUGUGUAUGUGCGUUUCCAGGUUUUCCUAAGGUUGUCUCCCCCAGGGGCUGGCUGCUUUUAGGUCCAGCCAAAUCUUUCCCAAGUCCUCAGGCCCUUGAUGAUUUCUCACUUCUAUAAUCAGCAUGUUAAGAGAGCCGGGGAGCGGGCACUGACGCGCUGCAGGUGGCCCGUGCACGCUGUUUAGUAUUUAUAUGGGCUUCUCUAUCAUUCUUUCCCACUCCACCGUGGACUUAGAACUUCUUUUGUUUUAGACCCCAAGGCACCUCUUCCCCAUUGAUUUCUGCCACCAUAUCAAAGGUAAAUCCUCAAUGCUGCCAAGUUAAAUUUACCAACGACAAACUCAAAGCCAUGCACCAAGUGCUGGGGAAGCGUGCCUAGCAGGGAGCCUCCACCUCCAGUUUCUCAGGCUCAAUGCCAAGAAAUGAACCAGGCACGACUGUCGUAGAAGCCAUGCUCAAGCUGGGGGGAGCCACACGGUGGCACCUGGAGCCAGGGCGCUCGGGGAGCAGUUUGAUCUCUGGCUGUCUACACCUGUUUGUGGCAAAACCAGCCGGUAUUCCCGUUCUGGAUGGCAGGCCUGGCUGGCGCCCCCCAGAGGGGCGUAGCAUUCCCUGUACCUCUAAGGCUUUUGGCUAAUGGCAUGGGCAUCUCCCAUGGCCUGCAGUUUCCUUUCCCAAGAGGGUAUGAGAGUUUGAGGAGCGAGGUGCUGUGGUCUCCAUGGAUCUCUAGAGCAGGGGUUGGCAAACUAGGGCUAGGGACAGCCAGCCGUUUCUUUUCACAGUCUACAAACUGAGAACGCUUUUUACUUUUUCAAGUGGUGGAGGGGGGAAGCCAAAAGAAUGUUAUUUCAUGACUCAUGACGAUGAAAUCAGAUUCAUGUGUCCGUGUCCAUAGAUAAGGUUUUCUUGGAGCCCAGCCACGCCCAUUCCUGUGUGUGAGGCCCAGGGGGGCAUCGGUACCAACAACCGCAGAGGUGGAGAUUUGUGAUAAAUGCGCAGGGCCCUCAAAGCCUGUAGGACUUGCCGUCUAACUCUUUACAGAAAACAUUCGCCAACACUGCUCUAGAGCCCAGACUGCCCCCUUGGACCCGUCCCAUCUCCCACAGUGGCACCGAGUCAUCUGGCCAUCAUGGGAAACACUCCUGUGUGGAGGGAGAUUCUCUCCCACACUAACCUCCAUGUUUUCACUGAAGGAGGGCAGGGCCAAAGGAGAAGCUGGAAGGCAGUAGUGACGGGUGAUAAAAGUCCAUGUGGUCUAGCUCACGUCACCCUAACUUCUCUCUGGGCUCCCCGCCUUCCCUCUGGAAGCUGUGCUGCUGGGGAACGUUGGGGAAGCUCAGACAUGCAGGUUUCCCACGCUGAACUGGGGGGGACUCAAGGUGCUCCACGUGACUGUACCUUGGGCACCUUGUCCUUAUCAGACAGACAUCUCCCCUUUUUUUUGUUCUGUUAUGUAAUCAUAACAACGAACAUAUGACAUUAAAUACCAAGUAACAGACAUUUAUUUAGCAUCUACCAUGGACAAGGGUUGCAUUACACCAAGGAGAUGUGGGGCCGUCAAUACGGCCAGGGCCUGCGCUCAGAGAGUUUUCACGCCACGUUGUCUUCGUGCGCACAGCUGGUUCCCAGGAACUCACACGCUGCCUCCCACUGCUGUCCGCCCAUGACUCUCCCCACGCCCACCUUAUGGAAGACAAAAAUUACCCCCCUUUACAGAAGAGGUGACCAAGCUCAGCACCCUGGCCCCUUGCCCUAGUGGGGGUCUCUGGAUCUGCUGGCUGACCCGCUGCACAACAUCUUCUGCAGAAAAACCAAAGAACAGGAAGAGAUGGUGCUAGGGGUGCUCUGUUGACGCUGCGUAGCAGAAGGGAAAGGGAAGGGUGGGCAGGCUUAGCGGGGAAAGAGCCUCCCGUGAAUUCUUGGGGACCACUCAAGGAGGAAGUUUUCUAAGCUCUCUGGCCUCCUGGGAGCUAUGCCUCACUUUGAGCUGAGCAGGUGGAUACCAAAGAAGGGCAGAGAUGGACUCGUUCUGUUCUGCCUUGAAUUAUUCCCUGGCCUAACUGUCCUUCUACCCUGGGUUAUAAACACCUUGGUGACUGGGACAAUCUCUCAGUUUCUCUUAGAUCUCUCAAGCAGACAAAUAUGAAGUGCCUACUGUAUGCCAGACAGAAUGCUAGCCGCGAGACGCAGGGCUGUGUAGGAUAGGUGUUUAGGAAUUGCUUAUUAUAUAACCGAGUCUCUGCAGAUUUAGCUCACACCAAUGCCAGGGUUUCGAUAGGAGCUUCCAGGAGAUGCCAGAGUCCUUGAAAAGAGAGGUGAGGUGACACAGGUCUGUGGCGUAACGGCCCUGCCCCCUUUGCCCGCUCCACCUGCAUCUCUGCCCCCAAACGGCUCUUCUCCUUCACCUGUUGUCACUGGGUCCAUGUCAGAGUCCCUGUUUGUUCCCAAGUCCAGGUCUUAGAAAUCACUAAGAGGUAGAGUUUUUCCUCCACUCUCCUUCUCUAGCUCCUGUCCUGGACUCUCUCUUUAGUUCUAAAGUCAUUCCCAUACUCAGUUCCCUUGGUCACUUACUUUCGGUUAAAAUCAAAUGGUCUCCAAAGACAAAGACUUCAGGUGUUACUGGAGUGCAGCACCCUUUCCCUGACCCUCAGGUGUGGGCAGGUGAGGAUGUCAUGCCAGGGGGAGAGGAGCCGGCUUCCUUCCCUCGACCCCUGAGAGCUACCUCCUGUGUGGGUUCUGCCGUUAAAGUCUCCAGGCUGCCCCUCCUGGGCCCGCUAGGCCAGGCCAGGGGCGUGCAGGGCAUGGGACCGAAUGCCCUCCGAGGCAGCACUCAGGGUUGGCAAAGGAAACACCCAGGCGACCAGUGGGGGGCCGCCCUCUGAAGUUCUCAGGCCUUCUUUCACCUUUGUCCCAGGAUGGGACAGGUGGUGACAUCCUCUUGGUAACUGUCAUCAGGAGCCAUCACCUCCAACGCUGUGCUCCUCCAGGUAGGACCGAGGGGUGAAGGCCAGGGACUCAUUACUGAGUUCCAGGUUCCCAUCUGAGGGUGCACUGCCUCCUUGGACAAUUGACAGUGGCUGACCUUGACCUUCCAUACCGAGAUGUGGCCUUCAAAUACGAAAACUCGAUAGGACAAACUCUCAGAAGGCCACCAAGUCAACCCAAUAGCAUUCCAAGAGAUGUGCACAAACCGCAGGUGCCAUUUUAUCAUUGGUCAUCUCAGGAGUUUGGGGUGCUGCAGGUCUCCACAAGGAACCUCAUAUUCAAAGGAUGUACCUGCUGCCUCCGCCUCUAGGAAGCCUCUGUCCCCUCCUCUUUGCAGUCCACCAAGUUGUCAAAGUGCAACUUGUUCUCCAAUGUCCUACUACCUGGUAGGCAGAGGAGGCCUUGCUGACCCUGAGAAAGGAACAGACUCUUUGCAGUUCUCAAAGUCACUCCACAGAGGCCCCUAAGUGGAGCUUCGGGGGAACACGUGAAAUUGCUCACAACUAAUCCACCUAUCUGUCUUGACCCCCGCGGUGCAGACUCCGUCACCUACGCUGGCCUUUGGGAUCCAUGAGAUUCUGCACCUGUGAAUCUGGAAGGGUCUAAGUGUACACUACUGUGCCCAGGAGGAAAGAAAGCAGAGUGCCUUAAUGUCACACUUGGGGCCCAUCAUUCUUUGUGGUAGGGCUGUCCCUACCACAUUGUGGCCUCCUCCAGGUGUGACAACCCAAAGUGAGAAAUUGUUGAUGCAUUUGCUAGCAGCAACCCCUCCCUGGGGUGCGAUAACCAAAGUGUCUCCAGACAUGGCCAAAUGUCCCUCAGGGAGACAAGAUAUCCUGAAGACAAGAUCUUCUAACCAAAAAUGGUUAGAAGAUUUCAUGGAUUUCCAAUGCGUGGCUGUGCCACAAAAGCUCCCUGCGGCUGCCCGCCCUUGACCUUGGACAGCUGCGUUCCACAUGAGCCCUCAGUGUCUGCCCUGUCUGUCCCCCAUGUCCCCCCACCACGCACCUUCCCAGGCCUCUUGGUCCCAUCCCGGCAGACUCCACAGGAGACCACCCGGGCCUCAGCUCCGGGAAGCCUGGGGAGGAGUGUAGGCCAGCAGCUGAUGAAGGAUUCAAAGUGCCAAGUGGGAAGGAACCUGGGGCUGAGCGGGAGCAGGUUAGCUGGGGGCUGCGAUGGCCAAGACCACAGGAUGCCAGUCCUGGGGGAGGUGGGCUUCCCCGGGAGGACCUGGGAGGGGAUGGCAUUUGUAGACAUUGGCAGCGUAAAAUCGAUGGGUCUCCUUCAUCUUUCUGAAGCCUGGACUAGUCGAUCAACGGCGAAUGGCUUGGCCUCUUAGAAGCAUCAGCCGUUGGCUCCGGGUAGGGCGUGCCCUUGCUUUUCUCUUCCUAGCUGGGCGCUUUCUCCUGCGCAUGGGUGUGGAUGGUCAGACUCUGCCCCCCCAAGGACCAAAUGCAAGUAGGAGAGAGUCAGCCACUAGAAAGAUCCGAAGGCUUUAGUUUGUGAAAAAAAGUUCAGAAUAUUGUAUCAAGGGAGAGAGAGAGUGUGUGGAGUGUGGCCCUCUCCAUGCUUUAUAAUGUGACAUAUAUGUCACACACACACACACACAUACACACAGACACAGACACACACACCCCUCCAUGCUCAUGUGCCAAAAUAUCAAGUGUUUCCCUCUGGUGGUGGAGGACGUGACUUUAGUUUUGUUUUAUACGCUUCUCUGCAUGUUUCGGGUUUUCUGCAGUCAUUACUGUUAUAACAUUUUCAGUGUUCUUUAUUCAUAUUACAUUUGAUGCUUGCAGGGCCUAGGAAGGACAGCCCAUGUCUUUUCUGGAGGGAAUGUAACUUUAGGGCAGCUGAACUUGCAAUGGGACGGGGCGAAGACCAGCCUAAUUAUUUGGGGCCCAGUUUCCUGUAACCCCCACCCCACAGCCGUGCCUCCUGGGUGCCAGCAGGUGUGUCUCCACUUACAUCUGGGGACAUCUGGAGGCCCAGAGUUCAGUGCCCAAGGGCUGGAGUAGUCAGCCCCUUGCAAAGCUGUGGUCACCUGCCAGGUGUCCGCCACAUGCCCUGGCCAGCUGCAGAGGAGAAACCCGGUGGUGCAGUGGAGGAACCCCCACCUGCUAGGCCAGCCCUGCAGGUAGGGGUGGGAGCGGUCGAGGAGGGUCUCAGGCAGGCUCUGGACGUUCUGCACACCCCUUAUCCAGUGCUCCUCCCUCCCACUUAUUCCUCAUUUUACUUAGAUCUGUUCUUAACAAAAUGUUUCCCACUCAGAAUGACUUUAAGAACCCCCUCGUAGGACAUGUCCAAGCCAGCCAGCGCUUCUGGAGUAGCCGUCGUCUACGAUAAGCACCCCAACUGCCAGGCAGACAUGGGGAGAAGCCGGGAAUGAUAAGACAUGGUCUCUGGCCUGUGGGAGCCUCUGGUUUGCAGGCUCCAUGAGUUACAGACAGAGGUGUCCCCAGUUGUGAUAAAACUGCAGAGAGAGGAGGUUAUAGGUAGUUCCACUUGGGAAAAUCCAGGGUGACUUCCUGGUGGAAGUGCCAUUUUGAAGCACAAGGAGGGUUUCCUUGGGUCCUGGGAGCAGUUCUGGAAGGAAGCAGCAAGGCCUGUGAUGGCCCUUCACCAGAGGCCUAGGAAGGUUCUCUGGGUGGUUCUCAGCCUCUCCCGGACGGCUCGGGGCCAGGCAGCCAGGGUCCCUCCCACAUGGCCAUAGCCACAUAGCCCACCCAGCACAGCCUCCCUCCCCUCUCUCCAGCGCCUGACCAGGCAGGCAGGAGGCCGAGGCUCACCAGCCUUCCUCAGGCUCCUCUGCCAGGCACUGUGUGUACGGGGCGAUUCACAAGCUUGGAAUUCACGAUUUCGUCCGAGUGGGGAGGGCGUUCAGCUUUGCCUCUGAAAUCCGGUUCAUAAGCAAAUUAUUUCAGUAAAUAAAUUUCAAGGCCAGCUGCCUGCCCUACUGCAGCAAGUCCUUGUUCCAGGCAAGGGCACUCCAGAGAGGGGGACAGUGACAAGCAGAGGCUGCACGGCACUGCUUUGGGAGUGUUGCAGUGGCCUUCUGGGGAGCUCAUUCGGGAGGAGUGAGCUGGUCCCUGCCUGGGCUUCCCGGGUGUGCGUGGGCUGGGGCAGGUCUAGACUAACCUCCAGGCUACUCCCCAUCACGCUAGGGGCUGAAGGAGGCCUGGUCUGGGCGUGCAUGCGCCUGCCCUCCCUAUCCCCAGUCUCCGCCUGCUUUUGAAUCCUGGUUCUCCUACUUCCUGGCCGUGGGGCCGUGGGCAGGUCAUCUGCCUUCCCACAGCCUUGCUGACGGCCAAUUCUGACGUUUGCUGAAUUGCUGGAAUCGUGCUUAGCACUUCUCCAACAUCAGCCAUUAUUAUUUCCACUUUGCAGAUGAGGAAAGCAAGGCAGGGAGCAAGCUGGAGCGAGAGGUGUUAAGCUACGUGCCCGGUGCCCAAGGCCAUUAGCUCCCGGGUGCAGGGAGCACAGGGAUUAAACAGUGGCCGGGUGCCAGCUCCUGGCAGGGGAAGCACUUGAUAAAUGGUUGCUAUCAGGCUUGUUACACCGCCUCAGGCUCCCUGCCCAUCCCUCUCCCAGCCAGGCGGACUCCUUGGGAAAGCAGGGCCCAGCAGAGCCUGGGGGAGGGUGGGAGCCCGGAGCAAUCUGUCCCUCCCAGGAGGCUGCCCAGGGGGGGCCUGGGGGCUCAGGACCAGGACCUGGAGGGGAAGUGUUCUUCCUCCCAGCACAGCCCUGAUUGGAGCCAUUUACAUCUCAAACCCCAACUUAGAAAACCACAAUCCAUCAGCCAGCGAUGGUGUAAAUUGCUUUGCUAAAUAUAUUUCUGGGUACAUGGUAAGUAAAAAUAUCAUGAAUUUAAUAAGCCUUGGAAUUCACAUUUUUCCAAUCCUAAUUAAGUUUCUCCUCUGUGUCGACGUGCUCCUCUCCUCGGCGAGGCUGGGAAGGGAAGGGAAGGCGGCUCACGUUGGCGGCUGAGUCCAGGCGGGUGCUCCGCAUCCAUGACUGCAUUUCCUCUCCCAGCAGUCCAGGCGGCCAGGGUCAUCAUGCCCACUUCACUGAGGACACUGAGUCUUGGGGAGGGUCACUGCUCUGUCGAGGGCUAUGACCAGGAGCCAGGAACAGGAUUUGAAUCCAGUUCCGGCUUCCUCUUUCUAUUGGACACCGCCCUCCUCACCACACACACACACACACACACACACACACACACACACAUAUACAUUGGUUCCUAAAUAGGUCAGCAGAGUGGCCCUUCUGUCCUCAGGUCUGGCCACAGCUUGGCUCUUCCCACAGGGGCCUAACCUGGGCCACUGGUCCCCUUUACAGCUGUGUGCUCGUCACAUGUUCACUCACGAGCCCCUGAGUUGCCAUGAACACACCUUGCACCUACCUAUACAGGCUACAAUAAAGACCCCCGGUGUUGAUGGCAGGAGGUGGCUGGCUCUCUAUCCAGAACAGCUGCCCGGGGGGUGGGGGUGCUGUUUGCCUUUGUCAUGGUUAAUUCUAUAUGUCAGCUCGGCUGGGCCACAGUGCCUAGAUUUCUGGUCAAGUAUCAUUCUGGCUGUUUGGGUGGAGGUGCGGUUUUGGGUGAGAUUAACACAUCAGUGGACUGUGAGCAAAGCAGAUGACCCUCCUCAGGAUGGUGGGCCUCAUCCAAUCAGCUGAAAGCCCGGAGAGAAGAAAGAGUGACUCCCCAGAGCAAGGGGAAUUCUGUCGGUGCAGCCUUGGAACUCAGAGUGCGCCCCUGCCUGGGUACCUAGCUUCGAGACCCAUCCUGCAGAUUUCGGACUUGCCACCUCCAUAAUCUUGGGAGCCAGUCCUUGGGAUACAUCUCUGCACGCAAGCCCACGUCCUGUUGGAGAGGCCCAGUACGGAAGCCCUGCGCCCAGCCUUCUGCCCACCAGGAACCCCCUCGAGGCCCUGGCAAACAAGGGCUCCAAGAGUUUGGUGACUCGCCUCCUGUCCUGACAGAGCGACGGAAAGCUUGGGAGUGAGUCAGAGAGGAGUUAGCAUUUCUAGGCGGAUGUGUGGCUGCUCCUGUGGGCGUGUUUCUUCUGUCAUACGGUGGAGAGAAACACCUUUCCCGCGGUGUGUGAGGGCUAGACAGGACGGGGUCUGCCGAGCAUUCAGAGAAUGGAAGCCACCCGGAGAGGCAGAGCAGAAGUGAACCCAGGAGUGCCUGUGGCUGCUGGCCCCUGCGUCUGAGCCCCAGGUUCCUGGGCUCACCCCUGGGCUCCUGGGAAGGUGGGCCCCUCCAGGUGGCAGGGGGCUGCCAGGGCCCCUCCUCUCUUCCUGGGAGACAGGCAGGGAGGGGCGGCUUUCCGCCCUCUGUCACCAGGUCCGCGGUGAUGCUGCUGUGUAACUGUCCACAGAACAUUAGUCGCACAUUACAGGGUUAUGUUCCAUAGCGCCGUGGGUUCCCCAGACGCUCGGGAUUCCAGAGCGCUGCCUGCAGGCCCCCGGGGAGGGGCCAGGCAGGAAGCUGUGCCCCCUGAGCCCGUCCCCUCGGGCCUGGGGCUGCUGCACAAGUCCACCUUUCAGGAGGCUCCCAAACUUGGGGCAAGCCCCCCGCCCCCCAGGUCCUGAUGUCCCCUGCACUCCCUGAAAGACCCUGAGCUGCCAGGAGGGCAGGAAGCCAGGCCAGGGCUCAGGUGCCCGCAGAUGCAGGUACUGUGAGCCCGGGGCGUCCUCGGUUGACCCGUCCCCCCGGGCCUGGUCUUCAGGGUCUGUCCUCUCUGCUUACAAUGCCCUGGACUCCACGGCUCAUCCUCGACUUGGCCUCUGUCCCCGCAGGGCUGCGCUGCCUAGGGCCCUGUCCUCCUCACUCUGGGCUGCAGCCCUUCCUCCCCGCCCAGUGCCCCCUGCUGCAGGCCUCGCCCUCUGGCCUUUCCCCUGCAGUUCUCGGCCUGGCACGGGUGACUUGUCCCUGCUCCGACUCAGGGCACCCCCUCUCCAUCUGAGCCCGACAGCAGGCUGAGGGGGGACCUGCAUCAGGUUUGAGGAGCUGCCCACCCCCCUGCCACGCCCACAGGGCUCAGGGAGCUGCUCAGGAGUGGCCGCGGGUGUGGGCCGCAGAGCCAGCCCUGCACUUCCUGUCUGAUCUGGGGGUGGGGGGAGCUGCCC